This 69-nucleotide transfer RNA is filed under the name Scinax agilis. RNAcentral describes it as "tRNA-Val". It matches the Rfam family "tRNA". Rfam says of the family: Transfer RNA (tRNA) molecules are approximately 80 nucleotides in length. Their secondary structure includes four short double-helical elements and three loops (D, anti-codon, and T loops). Lineage: Eukaryota; Metazoa; Chordata; Amphibia; Anura; Hylidae. The record is from RNAcentral.
CAAAACGUAGCUUAAUAAAAGCAUUUCGCUUACACCGAAAAAAUAUCCGUUAGACCCAGAUCGUUUUGA